GCAGGUAUGGCGGAACAGGCAGACGCAACAGACUUAAAAUCUGUCGAGGCAACUCAUGCCGGUUCGACCCCGGCUACCUGCACCA
RNAcentral lists this transfer RNA (85 nucleotides) under Clostridia bacterium. RNAcentral describes it as "tRNA-Leu". It matches the Rfam family "tRNA". From Rfam's summary of the family: Transfer RNA (tRNA) molecules are approximately 80 nucleotides in length. Their secondary structure includes four short double-helical elements and three loops (D, anti-codon, and T loops). The record is from RNAcentral. Lineage: Bacteria; Bacillati; Bacillota; Clostridia.